Molecule: ribosomal RNA, 226 nt
Filed under: uncultured bacterium
Lineage: Bacteria
Description: partial 16S ribosomal RNA
Rfam family: Bacterial small subunit ribosomal RNA
Source: RNAcentral
GCGUUGUCCGGAAUUAUUGGGCGUAAAGAGCUCGUAGGCGGUCUGUCACGUCGGCUGUGAAAACUUGGGGCUCAACCCCAAGCCUGCAGUCGAUACGGGCAGACUAGAGUGCGGUAGGGGAGACUGGAAUUCCUGGUGUAGCGGUGAAAUGCGCAGAUAUCAGGAGGAACACCGGUGGCGAAGGCAGGUCUCUGGGCCGCAACUGACGCUGAGGAGCGAAAGCAUG